UACUCCCCGUGUUUCUUUGCAGUUUGUCAGUUGGGCUGAUUUGGGUUUGCUCACAGAGUAUCAGCCAAGAUCCCGAGAUCAAGUAUCCAGAGAGAACCCGGUGGGACUUAUAUUUCCUUUUAUGGCCUAGCCCUGGAAUAUGUGGCAUCUCUCUGUCCAUAGUCACAGAGGGAAGAAACAGAUGGCAUCUCUCAGUGGGGAACCAGAAUCACAUGGUUAAAAGAACACAUGGGAUGGACAGGUUGCCACCAUUGUUGGCAUACAUUAAUAAAGUCUGCCAUGGCACCCCAUAGCAUUUAGACACCCACCUUUCUAGCCCUACCUCCCACUUAGUGAUUGUCUGUAAAUAUGCACGGCGUUACCUUGGCACUGAGAGAGAUGCAUGGCUGAGUAGGUGUCAUCUCAUCUGUAAGAAGCAAUAGCAGAGGGGAUGCAGAAGGAGCUGCUCUGUUCUGCUCAUUGUCACCUGCUCCUCUGCACACCUUCCUUCAUGCUCUUCCCUCGGCCUCUCCCCAGCUCACACCCCUUUAUUUGAAACUCUGCUCAUUUUUCAGGCCCUGCUUCAAUGCCACCACCUCCAUGCAGCCUCCUCUGAUGUUUGUCAUUAGCAUAGCUCUUUCGUGUGUGCUCCUGCACCACUGAUCCCUUCCACAACAUGGACUGUCUGUGAUGCACGUGUGCAGGAUGCUGGGAGUGCCCAGGUGGAAAGACACACGUGCUGCCCCCAGGAACUGACUGACUGUGACUGCUUCCUGCAUCUGAUGCAUCUCCGUGGGCUCCCCUCAGACCCUCUUCUGAAGGCCUGGGGUGUCUCUCCUGCCACCAUGCCUGUGUCUGCAGGUGCCUGCCACCAGCCCCAGUCUGCUGCACGGGCCCUGGCGAGUAGAAAGCACUUGCCUUCUGACCACAUGGGGAGCUGAGGGUCAGAGACGGAACCAGGGCUCGACCCUCCACCUUGAAACCUUGAGAUGGGGAUGCUCCUCAUUCUAGCCAGCUCCUCCUCAGCUCUCAAAACAAGGAACGGAUGCUCAGGAAACCAGACCUGGACAAAAGGCAUCUGAGCCUGGUGUGAGGCAGAUUCCAGAAGUUUAGUUACAGACAUCCUUUAUAAGGAGUCUUCAUCGGGAAUUCAAGACAACCUGGUGAUUUCAUUGAAAUUGGCCUGUGAAAGAGAAUCCACAUAGACUUCCUGCCACCUCUUGAGAUGUGACAGUUGCUGACCCUCCCGCCACCACACAGGGCGAGCCCCUAGCCCUGAGCUUGAACGAUGUUGCUUGCACAAAUAGCUGGGUGAUUUAGAAGUGAGGUCAGCUGUGCCAGCAGUUACAGGGUGGUGGUUGUCUGUAACUUUAAUCCACUGACUGUUGUACUAGGGCAGUUUGGGCUAGACACUUUGGAGGAGCUCCUGUGAAGGGCAUGAAGGCUCACUGUAGCAGCAGCUCAGUUGUCUUUCAGAGUUCUGCCCUUAGAGCUGGUUUGCAGUGCUCAUCCUUCUUGCUGAUAUUUUAAAAUAGGUAGAAACAGGCUGGGCGCGGUGACUCAUGCCUUUAAUCCCAGUACUUUGGGAGGCCUAGGCGGGCAGAUCACCUGAGGUCAGGAGUUCGAGACCAGCCGGACCAACAUGUUGAAACCCC
This 1634-nucleotide long non-coding RNA is filed under the name Pan troglodytes (chimpanzee). Its description in RNAcentral is "long non-coding RNA NONPTRT010731". The record is from RNAcentral. Lineage: Eukaryota; Metazoa; Chordata; Mammalia; Primates; Hominidae.